GAUGAACGCUGGCGGCGUGCCUAAUACAUGCAAGUCGAGCGAACAGACGAGGAGCUUGCUCCUCUGACGUUAGCGGCGGACGGGUGAGUAACACGUGGAUAACCUACCUAUAAGACUGGGGUAACUUCGGGAAACCGGAGCUAAUACCGGAUAAUAUAUUGAACCGCAUGGUUCAAUAGUGAAAGACGGUUUUGCUGUCACUUAUAGAUGGAUCCGCGCCGCAUUAGCUAGUUGGUAAGGUAACGGCUUACCAAGGCGACGAUGCGUAGCCGACCUGAGAGGGUGAUCGGCCACACUGGAACUGAGACACGGUCCAGACUCCUACGGGAGGCAGCAGUAGGGAAUCUUCCGCAAUGGGCGAAAGCCUGACGGAGCAACGCCGCGUGAGUGAUGAAGGUUUUCGGAUCGUAAAACUCUGUUAUUAGGGAAGAACAAAUGUGUAAGUAACUAUGCACGUCUUGACGGUACCUAAUCAGAAAGCCACGGCUAACUACGUG
Molecule: ribosomal RNA, 497 nt
Filed under: uncultured bacterium
Lineage: Bacteria
Description: partial 16S ribosomal RNA
Rfam family: Bacterial small subunit ribosomal RNA
Source: RNAcentral